GAGUUGAUUAUGUGCUUACGAGUCUCUUUGCACUAUGCUUAGGACCUGGAUACCUGCACCUACCUAAAAUGUUUUAGGGAACUAAGCAAAAUGUACUUAGCAUGCAGCACCCAGCACCUGCUUAGUACAGGUCCUUAGCCUUUCUCUCUUUGCUUUCCUGGGAAUUUCUGCAAAUCUCACACUUCCUUGGGGAGUAAUUUUUGCCUUCGGCUUCCUUUCCCAUCUCCUGCAGUGUCUCCUCGCUUUAAGUCUGUAACAGCACUUCAGUCGUGCAUCUGCCCACAUCUCCUGCAUCGUGCUCCUCAAGUGCAAGAUCCAGGAGGAUGGCAAGAGAGGCCACUUAGCGAAGUCACAUAUCUCAUCCUUUUGAGGGUUUCCACUGAAAACAGCCACCUACACUCCUCACUUCUUCCCGAAGAUGGUUACUUCUUAGAGCUUGAAAUUACAGGAUCCAAAUGCUAAACAGAGCCUGGUUCAGAGAUAAAAAGCAGAAUGUCUGAGUGCCAGAGAAGCCAGGAGACAUGCGCCUUCAGCUACCCAAGGACUGGGAUCUCAUCUCUGAAAAAGAAGAAAAAAAAAAAAGAAAA
This is a long non-coding RNA of Meriones unguiculatus (Mongolian gerbil), 587 nucleotides long. RefSeq lists it as uncharacterized. The transcript has 2 exons. NCBI's taxonomy places the organism in Eukaryota, Metazoa, Chordata, Mammalia, Rodentia, Muridae. The record is from RefSeq and is a predicted model, not a curated record.